AUUGAACGCUGGCGGAAUGCUUUACACAUGCAAGUCGAACGGCAGCACGGACUUCGGUCUGGUGGCGAGUGGCGAACGGGUGAGUAUUACAUCGGAACGUGCCCAGUCGUGGGGGAUAACGUAGCGAAAGCUACGCUAAUACCGCAUACGAUCUAAGGAUGAAAGCGGGGGACCGUAAGGCCUCGCGCGAUUGGAGCGGCCGAUGGCAGAUUAGGUAGUUGGUGGGGUAAAGGCCUACCAAGCCGACGAUCUGUAGCUGGUCUGAGAGGACGACCAGCCACACUGGGACUGGGACACGGCCCAGACUCCUACGGGAGGCAGCAGUGGGGAAUUUUGGACAAUGGGCGCAAGCCUGAUCCAGCCAUUCCGCGUGCAGGAUGAAGGCCCUCGGGUUGUAAACUGCUUUUGUACGGAACGAAAAGGCUCUGGUUAAUACCUGGGGCUCAUGACGGUACCGUAAGAAUAAGCACCGGCUAACUACGUGCCAGCAGCCGCGGUAA
Molecule: ribosomal RNA, 500 nt
Filed under: uncultured bacterium
Lineage: Bacteria
Description: partial 16S ribosomal RNA
Rfam family: Bacterial small subunit ribosomal RNA
Source: RNAcentral